This 490-nucleotide ribosomal RNA is filed under the name uncultured bacterium. RNAcentral describes it as "partial 16S ribosomal RNA". It matches the Rfam family "Bacterial small subunit ribosomal RNA", at positions 30 to 507 of the family's 1533-position model. The record is from RNAcentral.
AUUGAACGCUGGCGGCAGGCCUAACACAUGCAAGUCGAACGGUAACAGGAAGCAGCUUGCUGCUUCGCUGACGAGUGGCGGACGGGUGAGUAAUGUCUGGGAAACUGCCUGAUGGAGGGGGAUAACUACUGGAAACGGUAGCUAAUACCGCAUAACGUCGCAAGACCAAAGAGGGGGACCUUAGGGCCUCUUGCCAUCGGAUGUGCCCAGAUGGGAUUAGCUAGUAGGUGGGGUAACGGCUCACCUAGGCGACGAUCCCUAGCUGGUCUGAGAGGAUGACCAGCCACACUGGAACUGAGACACGGUCCAGACUCCUACGGGAGGCAGCAGUGGGGAAUAUUGCACAAUGGGCGCAAGCCUGAUGCAGCCAUGCCGCGUGUAUGAAGAAGGCCUUCGGGUUGCAAAGUACUUUCAGCGGGGAGGAAGGGAGUAAAGUUAAUACCUUUGCUCAUUGACGUUACUCGCAGAAGAAGCACCGGCUAACUCCGUG